Molecule: ribosomal RNA, 423 nt
Filed under: uncultured Glomeromycotina
Lineage: Eukaryota; Fungi; Glomeromycota
Description: SSU rRNA
Rfam family: Eukaryotic small subunit ribosomal RNA
Source: RNAcentral
UGGUAUGCACUGGCUUCGCUGAUUCCUCCUUUCUGAAGAACUGUUAUGCCAUUAAUUUGGUGUUGCAGGGAAACAGGACUGUUACUUUGAAAAAAUUAGAGUGUUUAAAGCAGGCUAACGCUUGAAUACAUUAGCAUGGAAUAAUGAAAUAGGACGUUUGAUCCUAUCUUGUUGGUUUCUAGGAUUGACGUAAUGAUUAAUAGGGAUAGUUGGGGGCAUUAGUAUUCAAUUGUCAGAGGUGAAAUUCUUGGAUUUAUUGAAGACUGACUACUGCGAAAGCAUUUGCCAAGGAUGUUUUCAUUAAUCAAGAACGAAAGUUAGGGGAUCGAAGACUAUCAGAUACCGUCGUAGUCUUAACCAUAAACUAUGCCGACUAGGGAUCGGAUGAUGUUAAUUUUUUAAUGACUCAUUCGGCGCCUUACG